AGAAUCAACGCUGGCGGCGUGCCUCAGACAUGCAAGUCGAACGCGAAAGCUCCCUUCGGGGGGUGAGUAGAGUGGCGCACGGGUGAGUAACACGUAGGUAAUCUACCUUUGGAUGGGGAAUAACAACCGGAAACGGUUGCUAAUACCGCAUAAUGCAGCGGCACCUAAUGGUGACAGUUGUUAAAGCGGGGGAUCGAAAGACCUCGCGUCUGAAGAGGAGCCUGCGGCGGAUUAGCUAGUUGGUAGGGUAAUGGCCUACCGAAGGCUACGAUCCGUA
RNAcentral lists this ribosomal RNA (277 nucleotides) under uncultured soil bacterium. RNAcentral's name for it is "partial 16S ribosomal RNA". It matches the Rfam family "Bacterial small subunit ribosomal RNA", at positions 26 to 285 of the family's 1533-position model. The record is from RNAcentral.